AUGCAGUCGAGCGGAAACGAGUUAUCUGAACCUUCGGGGAACGAUAACGGCGUCGAGCGGCGGACGGGUGAGUAAUGCCUGGGAAAUUGCCCUGAUGUGGGGGAUAACUAUUGGAAACGAUAGCUAAUACCGCAUAACGUCUACGGACCAAAGAGGGGGACCUUCGGGCCUCUCGCUUCAGGAUAUGCCCAGGUGGGAUUAGCUAGUUGGUGAGGUAAUGGCUCACCAAGGCGACGAUCCCUAGCUGGUCUGAGAGGAUGAUCAGCCACACUGGAACUGAGACACGGUCCAGACUCCUACGGGAGGCAGCAGUGGGGAAUAUUGCACAAUGGGCGCAAGCCUGAUGCAGCCAUGCCGCGUGUAUGAAGAAGCCUUCGGGUUGUAAAGUACUUUCAGUCGUGAGGAAGGC
RNAcentral lists this ribosomal RNA (409 nucleotides) under Vibrio sp. P1-14. Its description in RNAcentral is "bacterial SSU rRNA". It matches the Rfam family "Bacterial small subunit ribosomal RNA", at positions 55 to 452 of the family's 1533-position model. The record is from RNAcentral. Lineage: Bacteria; Pseudomonadati; Pseudomonadota; Gammaproteobacteria; Vibrionales; Vibrionaceae.